This 4127-nucleotide long non-coding RNA is filed under the name Sus scrofa (pig). RNAcentral's name for it is "lncRNA (ENSSSCG00000051919.1)". Lineage: Eukaryota; Metazoa; Chordata; Mammalia; Artiodactyla; Suidae. The record is from RNAcentral.
GCCGUUCAGCUUGGACCAGGCAGGUCCUGUGUCGCCUAACGCUUGCCAGCAAGUACGAGGUGUGUGUUGAAGCGUGUGGCGUAGUUCUUUUGUCUGUCCCACACCGCCAGCUGUCGCACGGUCAGUGCAGUGUUUGGAUUUCACUUGGUUAAAAGGGUCCAGUCAGGAGGUCAGCCAGAGAUUGACUUGGGUGUUAACAGGGGCCCGUGCUCCAGUUGGCUCUGACCCUGUGCCAAGCCGAAGGUGAGAACUGCUAAGCAGGAGCCCCCCUCCGAGAAAGCGGUCCGGGUCGGGCGGGGACCAUCCAGAUCUAAGGGCCAUGGCCGGGAAGACUUCUGGUGCCUUAUUGAUAAAUUUUGUUGGUUGGUUGUGUGCUGGGCGGAUUGGUUACACACUCUGAGGCUCUCACAUUUGCUCCCAGCUCCCUGGAUCCCUGUGGCUUUUAGCUGGGGUGGUAAAUAGGGAGCAGGGUGUCACCGAGAAGAGAGACAACUGAUCAUACCACAGCUCUUCCCACAGCCUGUGCCUCUUGUAACUUCCUGCUCCAUCUACAUCCCACCCACUUAACCCACCUCGGAGGGUUAUUUUAAGCCAGAACUCAUCCGUCAAGCAGAAGGGAAGUCUUCACUCACUCGUUAGAAACUCCUCCAGCUUCUCCUGGGACGCCUCCAGGGCCGGGGCCCUCAUGCCUACAGCAGGGGCCCGGGGGGGCGUGCUGCCUGUUUCUGCAUUUUUCUGGUGUCCCUCCGUGCCCUGCCGGCCCUGGUCGUGUCUCCGGCCCUUGGGAGCUUUAACCAGGCAAGGCUCAAGUGUACGAAGGUGAAAUUUGCAUUCCUUCCCUGGGUUGUGCUUCUCCAAGGUAAACGGCCCCAGUGCUUCUCAGUCGCUUCAGCACCAGGUGUGAAGACUUCCGAUCAUUGUUCACGUGUUCGUUUAUCGACGUUCAUAUUUUAGCGGGGGUGGUUAGGGUGGGACAGCUACUCUGGAGGGCCCUGUGCGGAGCUCGGAGGAUCGAAAAACAGGGUAAAACCUGUAUCCUCUAGAAGCUUGUUCUCACGGGAAGAGGAGCAGAGACGCAGCCUUGAAACCCGGUGCAGCCUGUGCUGCAUGAAGGUGCUCCGAGGCUUGGGGCCGAGCAGAAGCCCUGUCUGGCGGGGGAGACAAGCAGAGAAGAGAGGCUGCUCGUGGGGAAGGGAGGGGCGCCUGCAAAGGCAGGACUGGGGCUGCCCUUGGGCUGGACAGGCUCUGUCUUGUCACCACCUAAUAAAGUGGCUCAGUGAACCUUUCUUCUGUUAAGGGGACUCUGGUCCAACACUUCUUAGGGAGCAGCUUGGCAGGCCUCCGGGGGGAGUUCUGCUGCCACCAGACCAAACAGAUCCUGCUGCCCUGGAAAGCCAGGUCUUGGGGACCAGAGAGGAAGCUUCCUAGUGUGGGGCACCUGGCAUGCCAGCUCCUGCAGGCGUGGAGCUGCCGGCAGGCGUGGGUAGGUGUGAAUGCGCACUCAGAGCAGGCGCGCCUGCGUGGACGCGAGCUGGGAAGCAGGAGCGUAUGCAUCCUGCUCAUUCGUGUGGCACCAGGAGUCCUGUGACAGAAGGUGCCCCUGAAAGCCAUGUCCCGACACCAGAGCAGUGAGCCACUGCACCAUCCCCAGAUGCACCCGUGCCCUCAGUGCCCUCUGUGUCCUGGGGGCUGCUUGUGCCCGUCCCCCCCUCUGCUCGCGUCCUCAGGCGAGAGCCCCUGCUCGUCGUUCAGUACCCAGCUCACCUGGCACCUGCUGCCUCCAGGCUUGAGGGUUCUGGGCCUCAGCCCGGGUGGCUUCCCUCUGCAGUGCCCCGUGUCGCUGGGUCUUCUCGUCUCCAAGUCCAGAGACGUCCUGGCUUGUCCAAUACCAAUCCUGCCUGUGGAUAGAGGGUGGGGGUUCCUGUGACCCGGAAAGGCCAUGCCAUACGUUCUCUUGUCCUGACACCACUCCUGUAGGGCACCUUUUUCAGGUUGUAUUUCCUAGUGUCGUGGCGUUAAUGAACCAGAAGCCCGGAACUGGACUGGAGAUGCAGUCACGUGGUCUUGUCUUUGUUAGUGGAGAAUAGAGCAAAGCAGUCAACACCUGAAUCCUCCUUUCUCGUCUCCAGGAACGAGGAGGAGGAGGCAGGUCCUCUGGCCUCCCUCUGCUCAGAGCACUUCCUCUCCAGAACAGGCGCCAGGGCUGUGACUAUUGGCGCAGCUGCGCAGGAGGCCCCGUCAAGCACAGAGUCAGCAGUUUCAAGCGUGGAUGAGUACGGGCCGCCUUUAUUCCUUCUUUUUUAAAAUUCUCAGUGCAUUUAGUGCUACUUAAUGUGUUGGGCAGUUGAUGGGUUGAAAGUAUUCACAAAAUAGACUUUUUACUCUAGUGAAAAUGUGAUAGAAGUUUACUCUGUUGCUAAAUUAUGUAUUUCUGGAGACACAGACCACCUGUCCCAGGAAUAGGAGCAGCCCUGUUUACAUGGGGUGGGACAAAAGGGGGACGACCCAAAGCCUGACCCCAUAGCCAGUGUCCUCAGAAGAUUCAGAGUGACACCGCUGCAUGAUGGGAAGGGUGACGCGAUGAAGCCCAAGGAGAAGGAUGAGUGAGGGCUGUGUAGGCAGGACGUCUUCCCUGGAGACGGCUUAGGUAGGCCCUGGGCUUUAGUUGGGCAGGACAGACUGUGGCAAGCAGAGAGCAGGUUUACGGAGGGGAGCCCCAGUUUGGGCCAAAAUGGCAAAUGGAAACAAGUCUUGGGCGGGGGGGUGCCACUGCCAUCAAUCUCUAGUCUUGUAUGUGCCAUUCUGAGUGUAGGCCGGCCGGGAGCUGCCCAAAGCCUAGGCUGCUUCUUGAGCUACUGGUCCCAGUUCCAGCUAGUUCCAGGACAGACUCACAUCCAAGCCCGGAGAGACCCUGAGCAGACCAGCAGUACCAAGCUGUGCCUGCCCAUGCAUUGGGAUUAGCAUGUGGUCAGUGGGGUCCCGCCCGAGUCCCCAUCACCGAGGCAGGAGUCGUAUGAGCCGUCACGUGAGUGCACCAGGUGAAACAUGAAGGUACCCCCCCGGGGCUUAUGCGCCCCUUGUCAAAGAUGACUUCUGGAGUAUUCUACCCCUCAGCCCUGGGCUGCUGUGAGGGCGCCUUGGAAGUGUGCUCCCCUGGUUGGACUGCUGCAUGCCAGGCUCCAAACCAGGGUUUUGUCCCAAAAGCAGAAGGGAAGAGUGGCUGCUGGGAGCCAGGCAACCGUCCCUGCAGAAAUUCAUCAGAUGCAGCUAGAGGGUAUCAGACUAAGUGAAGCAAGUUAGAAAGAGGACAAAUACAUAUGAUAAUCAACACUUACACAAGGAAUCUAAAACAUGGCACAAACGGAGGUCCUGUUAUGGCUCAGUGGAAACGAACCUGACUAGCAUCCACGAGGACCCGGGUUUGUUCCAUGGCCUCGCCUAUCUGGUUAAGGAUCCAGUGUUGCUGUGGCUGUGAUGUAGGCUGGCGGCGACAGCUCCAGUUCAACCCCUAGCCUGGAAGCUCCAGAUGCUGUGGGCGCAGCCCUAAAAAGACAGAAAAAUAAAAUAUGGUACAGGAGUUCCCCCUGUGGUACAGCAGGUUCAGGAUCCAGUGCUGUCUCUGCAGCUGCGUGGAGCAGUGCAAGUUCAAUCCCUACCGUGGUGCAGUGGUUUAAGAAUUCAGCGUUGCCACAGCUGUGCUGUCAGUUGCAGCUGCAGCUUGGAUUCGAUCCCUGGCCCAGGAAUUUCUGUUUUGGCAAAAAAAAGCAAAACAGAAACAAACUCACAGACAUAGAGAACAGACUUGUGGUUGCCAAGGGAGGUAGGGGAAGUGGGAUGGACUAGGAGUUUGAGGUUAGUAGAUGCAAACUGUUAUAUUUAGAAUGGAUAGGAGGUCCCGUCAUGGCGCAGUGGUUAACGAAUCCGACUAGGAACCAUGAAGUUGCAGGUUUGAUCCCUGGCCUUGCUCAGUGGGUUAAGGAUCUGGUGUUGCCGUGAGCUGUGGUGUAGGUUACAGACACGGCUCGGAUCCCACGUUGCUGUGGCUCUGGCGUAGGCCGGCGGCUGCAGCUCCGAUUCAACCCCUAGCCUGGGAACCUCCAUAUGCUGAGGGAGUGGCCCAAGAAAUG